RNAcentral lists this transfer RNA (65 nucleotides) under Thesaurus albertalleni. RNAcentral describes it as "tRNA-Pro". Lineage: Eukaryota; Metazoa; Arthropoda; Insecta; Coleoptera; Cucujidae. The record is from RNAcentral.
CAGAGAUUAGUUUAAAGAAAAUAUUAAUUUUGGAGAUUAAGGAUAGAAGUUUAUUCUAUCUCUGA